This 497-nucleotide ribosomal RNA is filed under the name uncultured bacterium. RNAcentral describes it as "partial 16S ribosomal RNA". It matches the Rfam family "Bacterial small subunit ribosomal RNA", at positions 28 to 507 of the family's 1533-position model. The record is from RNAcentral.
GAUGAACGCUGGCGGCGUGCCUAAUACAUGCAAGUCGAGCGAACAGACGAGGAGCUUGCUCCUCUGACGUUAGCGGCGGACGGGUGAGUAACACGUGGAUAACCUACCUAUAAGACUGGGAUAACUUCGGGAAACCGGAGCUAAUACCGGAUAAUAUAUUGAACCGCAUGGUUCAAUAGUGAAAGACGGUUUUGCUGUCACUUAUAGAUGGAUCCGCGCCGCAUUAGCUAGUUGGUAAGGUAACGGCUUACCAAGGCAACGAUGCGUAGCCGACCUGAGAGGGUGAUCGGCCACACUGGAACUGAGACACGGUCCAGACUCCUACGGGAGGCAGCAGUAGGGAAUCUUCCGCAAUGGGCGAAAGCCUGACGGAGCAACGCGGCGGGAGUGAUGAAGGUCUUCGGAUCGUAAAACUCUGUUAUUAGGGAAGAACAAAUGUGUAAGUAACUAUGCACGUCUUGACGGUACCUAAUCAGAAAGCCACGGCUAACUACGUG